Lynx canadensis (Canada lynx) is the source of this 474-nucleotide long non-coding RNA. RefSeq lists it as uncharacterized. The transcript has 3 exons. The record is from RefSeq and is a predicted model, not a curated record. Lineage: Eukaryota; Metazoa; Chordata; Mammalia; Carnivora; Felidae.
ACUAUUUUCUGGCCUUCUCCCGCGUACUGCUCCCAGAGAAGGGACAGGAUCCAGCACGCCCGGGAGCAGCGGAGCCUCGGCCUCCGAGGUGCAGGAGUGGGACGAGAGCGAAACCCUCAGAAGACUUUCCAAAACCUUCUUCAGAAAGCUGUAAACUAACACCUGUCUAUGAAGUUAAGCGGAGUUAAUCAGUCUAAGAGGUGAUGAAAUCAGUGCCCAAUGUGAAGUCAGGAUCAGAGGGCAAAGAAGAGAACCCAAACAGCCAGACCUUUGCAGUAUGAAUUCAAGAUUUAUUCAAUAGAUCAUGAAUUGCUGGGUCCUCAGUCACUCCCAAUUUAAAACCAAGAAGAGGAAAAUGACGAACAGUAUAAUUGGAAUUGCAUGCAACAUUUCAAGAGAGUGGGAUAAUCUCUGUUACUUAAGAAUUGGUAUCGGGGCGCCUGGAUGGCUCAGUUGGUUGAGUGUCCGACUUCA